This 484-nucleotide ribosomal RNA is filed under the name uncultured bacterium. Its description in RNAcentral is "partial 16S ribosomal RNA". It matches the Rfam family "Bacterial small subunit ribosomal RNA", at positions 30 to 507 of the family's 1533-position model. The record is from RNAcentral.
AUUGAACGCUGGCGGCAGGCCUAACACAUGCCAGUCGAGCGGAUGAAGGGAGCUUGCUCCUGGAUUCAGCGGCGGACGGGUGAGUAAUGCCUAGGAAUCUGCCUGGUAGUGGGGGAUAACGUCCGGAAACGGGCGCUAAUACCGCAUACGUCCUGAGGGAGAAAGUGGGGGAUCUUCGGACCUCACGCUAUCAGAUGAGCCUAGGUCGGAUUAGCUAGUUGGUGGGGUAAAGGCCUACCAAGGCGACGAUCCGUAACUGGUCUGAGAGGAUGAUCAGUCACACUGGAACUGAGACACGGUCCAGACUCCUACGGGAGGCAGCAGUGGGGAAUAUUGGACAAUGGGCGAAAGCCUGAUCCAGCCAUGCCGCGUGUGUGAAGAAGGUCUUCGGAUUGUAAAGCACUUUAAGUUGGGAGGAAGGGCAGUAAGUUAAUACCUUGCUGUAUUGACGUUACCAACAGAAUAAGCACCGGCUAACUUCGUG